GAUGAAGAACGUAGCGAAAUGCGAUAAGUAAUGUGAAUUGCAGAAUUCAGUGAAUCAUCGAAUCUUUGAACGCACAUUGCGCCCGCCAGUAUUCUGGCGGGCAUGCCUGUCUGAGCGUCAUUUCAACCCUCAAGCAACUUCUGCUUGGUGUUGGGGAUCGGCCGUUAAACGCCGCCCCCGAAAUCUAUUGGCGAUCUCGCUGUAGCUUCCUAUGCGUAGUAGUAACAUCUCGCAUCUGGAGAGCGGCGCGGUCAUGCCGUAAAACACCCAACUUCUCAGGUUGACCUCAGAUCAGGUAGGAAUACCCGCUGAACUUAAGCAUACAAUAGCGGAGGA
This 336-nucleotide unclassified non-coding RNA is filed under the name soil metagenome. RNAcentral describes it as "partial contains 5.8S ribosomal RNA, internal transcribed spacer 2, and large subunit ribosomal RNA". The stretch from base 1 to 120 matches the Rfam family "5.8S ribosomal RNA", at positions 35 to 154 of the family's 154-position model. The record is from RNAcentral.